GACGUAGGUGGCGAACGUUAUCCGGAAUUACUGGGCGUAAAGCGCACGUAGGCGGCUUUGUAAGUUAGAGGUGAAAGCCCGGGGCUCAACUCCGGAAUUGCCUUUAAGACUGCAUCGCUAGAAUUGUGGAGAGGUAAGUGGAAUUCCGAGUGUAGAGGUGAAAUUCGUAGAUAUUCGGAAGAACACCAGUGGCGAAGGCGACUUACUGGACACAUAUUGACGCUGAGGUGCGAAAGCGUGGGGAGCAAACAGG
This 253-nucleotide ribosomal RNA is filed under the name uncultured bacterium. Its description in RNAcentral is "partial 16S ribosomal RNA". It matches the Rfam family "Bacterial small subunit ribosomal RNA", at positions 524 to 776 of the family's 1533-position model. The record is from RNAcentral.